Molecule: ribosomal RNA, 292 nt
Filed under: uncultured bacterium
Lineage: Bacteria
Description: partial 16S ribosomal RNA
Source: RNAcentral
GGACUACCCGGGUUUCUAAUCCUGUUUGCUCCCCACGCUUUCGCACCUCAGUGUCAGUAUCAGUCCAGGUAGUCGCCUUCGCCACUGGUGUUCCUUCCUAUAUCUACGCAUUUCACCGCUACACAGGAAAUUCCACUACCCUCUACCAUACUCUAGCUUGCCAGUUUUGGAUGCAGUUCCCAGGUUGAGCCCGGGGAUUUCACAUCCAACUUAACAAACCACCUACGCGCGCUUUACGCCCAGUAAUUCCGAUUAACGCUUGCACCCUCUGUAUUACCGCGGCUGCUGGCAC